This 121-nucleotide ribosomal RNA is filed under the name Acipenser transmontanus (white sturgeon). RNAcentral also lists the same sequence under 1 other name. The record is from RNAcentral. Lineage: Eukaryota; Metazoa; Chordata; Actinopteri; Acipenseriformes; Acipenseridae.
ACCUGCGGCCACACCACCUUGAAUAAGCCUGAUCUCGUCUGAUCUCAGAAGCUAAGCAACGUUGGGCUUGGUUAGUACUUGGAUGGGAGACCACCUGGGAAUAUCAAGUGCUGUAGGCAUU